GUGACACUCCUGCAUGAGCCCUGCCCUAAGGGGAUAUUUUUACAUGUUGCUGAACUCAGCCUCUAGGUGAUGUGACUCUACUCUCCUGCCUGGGCCCUGCCCACAAGGGGCAUUGGAACAUUUCACUUGGCUCAGCACCAAGAAGAUGUUACUCUCCUACCUGGACCUCUCCCACAGGGGACACCUAGACAAUGUGAUUUUUCUUCCUGGUUCCUGCCCAGAGUUCAAAUUGUGAUGUAUAUCUGAGCCCAAAACACAGCUGACAGUAAGGAUUAUCACCUUCCACAUGGACACAGCCCAUUUUGAGGUUCUGAAUCUUACAGCUGGAGGCAAUUGAAAGUUGGAUGUGUGAUUCUCAUACAUGGAUCCAGAUCACGGAAAGGAUUGUGACAAAUCAGUGGGCCAAGCAUCCCGGAGACGUGGCUCUUCUGUCUUAGCAAUUCCUAUAGUUGGGAUUGUGACAUAAACGGUAAUUUGUGCCAUCCUGCUGGACCCAGCACCCAGGUCAUUUGACUCUCCUGCCUUGGCCCUUCCCACAGAGGGCAUUGUGACAUUGAGUGGGCUCAGCAGCCAGGUGAUACGACUUUCCUGCUAGGACUCUUCCAACAGAAGGGACAUUGACCUACUCAGGCUCAGUAUUCAGCCAAUAAAUGAAAAAAGAUUCAAGGAAGACACAUUUGCUUUUUAUUCACACAUCACUUCCUGUCACUAUGCUGACCAGAGUCAAUGUGAGCAGAGUUGAGAGUAGCAGUUUUCUGGCAGGAGAGCCGCUUCUCAGCGAAAAAUGACACAAUAAAAGUAUAAAUCUUUCAUGGAAGGCUCACAUAUUUUCAGCAAAUUAAGCAUAUGCAUGAAUAAAAUUCUUGUGGUG
Pongo pygmaeus (Bornean orangutan) is the source of this 871-nucleotide long non-coding RNA. RefSeq lists it as uncharacterized. The record is from RefSeq and is a predicted model, not a curated record. Lineage: Eukaryota; Metazoa; Chordata; Mammalia; Primates; Hominidae. The transcript has 5 exons.